CAUGGAAUGCAAGUUUCUACACUAAGCAUGUUUUUUACACAAUUGAAAGCUCAUGAACACUACUCCAAAGCAUCCUAGCCUCAAGAAUUAACUCAUCUAGUUGGCAAACUCAUACUUAUGAUUCAAUCAAGGACAUCAUACAAAUCACCCAAAUUCAUCAAAUAUGUGCCCCUUACAAUAAGAGAGUUACCCAUGAUCCUCACAAUAAUGCAAUUUAUAACAAAAUGGGUACAAGAAUCAAAUUACUCUCACUCUCACAAAGAAUUCACAAGUUACACACAAUGAACCAUAUGCUUGUCCUUAGUAUAAUGCUCCACUAAUAGUCGAAUGUAAAGCUUAGGAUUAAUUAGGUCUUUUCUGGGUUGUAAUAUAGGCUAAGGGGCGGGUAGAAACUAUUUUGGCCAAGAAUAGUGACUAACCUCUCUAAGAGCUUUAAUUCACUACAUUAUACAAUUAAAAUCAAUCUUUAACAAUCAAAUUACAUCAUUUUUUUCCACCCAUCUCUUUUAUUUUUGCCCAUCUCUUUUAAGCAUUUUCAGAACACAUGGUGGGCACAUAGUUUACUACCAUAUGAAUUAAUUUCUCUUUUUCACAAUCAUGGCAGUAUUUAUAACAUCAUUUAUAUCACAACCAUCCACCAUAGAUCAAUGUAAACACCAAUAACUCUUACCUUGGGGCAUCAAUUUCACCUUUUUCUUCUUCAAUUUCUCAAACUCCUUACUAAUUCAAUUUUUCAUUAAAGCACUUACGAGCUUUUUGGAUCAAAUUAUAGUUUAUCAAAGAAGGGAUUAGGCUACAUAUGAAGUUACCAAAUAAAAUAAGCUAAAGGCUCAAUAGGGAUUAACUAGGAUAAUGCGCAAAGGUAGGCAAAAGAAGGUAUAAAACAAAGCUAUCAAAGAAAUGCCUAUAUCAUCUCCUAAACUCACAUUCUUUAUUUCGCUUCACACACACACCGGGCA
This 959-nucleotide long non-coding RNA is filed under the name Capsicum annuum. RNAcentral's name for it is "long non-coding RNA (CANN_LNC017865)". The record is from RNAcentral. Lineage: Eukaryota; Viridiplantae; Streptophyta; Magnoliopsida; Solanales; Solanaceae.